UACGGAGGGGGCAAGCGUUGUUCGGAAUUACUGGGCGUAAAGGGCUCGUAGGCGGCCAACUAAGUCCGACGUGAAAUCCCCAGGCUUAACCUGGGAACUGCGUCGGAUACUGGAUGGCUUGAAUUCGGGAGAGGGAUGCAGAAUUCCAGGUGUAGCGGUGAAAUGCGUAGAUAUCUGGAGGAACACCGGUGGCGAAGGCGGCAUUCUGGACCGAUAUUGACGCUGAGGAGCGAAAGCCAGGGGAGCAAACGGG
This 253-nucleotide ribosomal RNA is filed under the name uncultured bacterium. RNAcentral describes it as "partial 16S ribosomal RNA". It matches the Rfam family "Bacterial small subunit ribosomal RNA", at positions 524 to 776 of the family's 1533-position model. The record is from RNAcentral.